RNAcentral lists this ribosomal RNA (478 nucleotides) under Streptococcus mitis. Its description in RNAcentral is "bacterial SSU rRNA". It matches the Rfam family "Bacterial small subunit ribosomal RNA", at positions 28 to 485 of the family's 1533-position model. Lineage: Bacteria; Bacillati; Bacillota; Bacilli; Lactobacillales; Streptococcaceae. The record is from RNAcentral.
GACGAACGCCGGCGGCGUGCCUAAUACAUGCAAGUAGAACGCUGAAGGAGGAGCUUGCUUCUCUGGAUGAGUUGCGAACGGGUGAGUAACGCGUAGGUAACCUGCCUGGUAGCGGGGGAUAACUAUUGGAAACGAUAGCUAAUACCGCAUAAUAGUAGAUGUUGCAUGACAUUUACUUAAAAGGUGCAAUUGCAUCACUACCAGAUGGACCUGCGUUGUAUUAGCUAGUUGGUGGGGUAACGGCUCACCAAGGCGACGAUACAUAGCCGACCUGAGAGGGUGAUCGGCCACACUGGGACUGAGACACGGCCCAGACUCCUACGGGAGGCAGCAGUAGGGAAUCUUCGGCAAUGGACGGAAGUCUGACCGAGCAACGCCGCGUGAGUGAAGAAGGUUUUCGGAUCGUAAAGCUCUGUUGUAAGAGAAGAAACGAGUGUGAGAAGUGGAAAAGUUUCAACAACUGUGACGGAUUUUACCA